RNAcentral lists this ribosomal RNA (1484 nucleotides) under Actinobacteria bacterium BACL2 MAG-120820-bin50. RNAcentral describes it as "bacterial LSU rRNA". It matches the Rfam family "Bacterial large subunit ribosomal RNA", at positions 1 to 1394 of the family's 2925-position model. Lineage: Bacteria; Bacillati; Actinomycetota; Actinomycetes. The record is from RNAcentral.
ACAGUGGACGCGAGCAUCUUUGUGGUCAAAUUAUUAAGUGCAGAUGGCGGAUGCCUUGGCACCAGAAACCGAUGAAGGACGUAUGAGGCUGCGAUAAGCCUCGGGGAGCUGCCAACAGAGCUGUGAUCCGAGGAUUUCCGAAUGAGGAAACUCAGCGCGAGUAAUGUCGCGUUAUUUCUCCCAGAACACAUAUGGGAGAUAAAGGGAACGUGGGGAAGUGAAACAUCUCAGUACCCACAGGAAGAGAAAACAAACGUGAUUCCGUUAGUAGUGGCGAGCGAAAGCGGAUCAGGCUAAACCAUUAAUGUGCCAAGCCGGCAGGUUUUGCAUUAAUGGUGUCGAGGGAUCGACUCGAAUUAACUGCCGUUAAUUCAACAAGUCAGAAAUUAAUGAAGUAGGUGAACGACGUGGGAAAGUCGGGCGUAGAAGGUGAGACCCCUGUAACCGAAACUUCAUUAACUUGUAGUUGAUAUCCCAAGUAAUACCGGACUCGUGAAAUCCGGUAUGAAUCUGGCGGGACCACCCGCUAAGCCUAAAUAUUCUCUGGUGACCGAUAGUGAACAAGUACCGUGAGGGAAAGGUGAAAAGAACCCCGCAAGGGGAGUGAAAUAGAAUCUGAAACCGUCUGCAUACAAGCCGUUGGAGCUACAUUAAGUAGUGACAGCGUGCCUUUUGAAGAAUGAGUCUACGAGUUAGUGUCAUGUGGCAAGGUUAACCCGUCGAGGGGAAGCCGUAGCGAAAGCGAGUCUGAAUAGGGCGCCAUAGUCGCAUGAUCUAAACCCGAAGCGAGGUGAUCUAGCCAUGGUCAGGUUGAAGCGUGGGUAAGACUGCGUGGAGGACCGAACCCACAAACGUUGAAAAGUUUGGGGAUGAACUGUGGUUAGGGGUGAAAGGCCAAUCAAACUUCGUGAUAGCUGGUUCUCUCCGAAAUGCAUUUAGGUGCAGCGUUACGUGUUUCUUACUGGAGGUAGAGCUACUGGAUGGCCGAGGGGACCUACAAGUUUACCAACGUCAGCCAAACUCCGAAUGCCAGUAAGUGAGAACGUAGCAGUGAGACAGUGGGGGAUAAGCUUCAUUGUCGAGAGGGAAACAACCCAGAACAGCAACUAAGGUCCCAAAGCGUGUGCUAAGUGGAAAAGGAUGUGAAGUCGCAUAGACAACCAGGAUGUUGGCUUAGAAGCAGCCACCAUUAAAAGAGUGCGUAAUAGCUCACUGGUCAAGUGAUUUCGCGCCGACAAUGUAACGGGGCUCAAGCACGCCACCGACGUUCUGUCAUUCACACAUCAUCCAGGUCGCAAGAUCCAGGAGUGUGGAUGGGUAGGAGAGCGUCGUGCAACUAGUGAAGCGGUGGAGGAAUCCAACCGUGGAAGUUGCACGAGUGAGAAUGUAGACAUGAGUAGCGAAAGAUGGGUGAGAAACCCGUCCGCCGAAUGACCAAGGGUUCCUGGGCCAGGCUAAUCCGCCCAGGGUAAGUCGGGACCUAA